UAGUUUGAUCCUGGCUCAGAACGAACGCUGGCGGCAGGCUUAACACAUGCAAGUCGAGCGCCCGCAAGGGGAGCGGCAGACGGGUGAGUAACGCGUGGGAAUCUACCUAGUUCUACGGAACAACUCAGGGAAACUUGAGCUAAUACCGUAUACGCCCUUCGGGGGAAAGAUUUAUCGGAAUUAGAUGAGCCCGCGUUGGAUUAGCUAGUUGGUGAGGUAAUGGCUCACCAAGGCGACGAUCCAUAGCUGGUCUGAGAGGAUGAUCAGCCACACUGGGACUGAGACACGGCCCAGACUCCUACGGGAGGCAGCAGUGGGGAAUAUUGGACAAUGGGCGCAAGCCUGAUCCAGCCAUGCCGCGUGAGUGAUGACGGCCUUAGGGUUGUAAAGCUCUUUCAACGGUGAAGAUAAUGACGGUAACCGUAGAAGAAGCCCCGGCUAACUUCGUG
RNAcentral lists this ribosomal RNA (449 nucleotides) under uncultured bacterium. RNAcentral describes it as "bacterial SSU rRNA". It matches the Rfam family "Bacterial small subunit ribosomal RNA", at positions 9 to 507 of the family's 1533-position model. The record is from RNAcentral.